GGGGUCUUAGCUCAGCUGGGAGAGCAUCUGCCUUACAAGCAGGGGGUCAUAGGUUCGAGCCCUAUAGGCCCCA
Molecule: transfer RNA, 73 nt
Filed under: Eubacterium sp.
Lineage: Bacteria; Bacillati; Bacillota; Clostridia; Eubacteriales; Eubacteriaceae
Also listed under: 2 other names
Description: tRNA-Val
Rfam family: tRNA
About the family: Transfer RNA (tRNA) molecules are approximately 80 nucleotides in length. Their secondary structure includes four short double-helical elements and three loops (D, anti-codon, and T loops).
Source: RNAcentral